AACGCACAUUGCGCCCCCUGGUAUUCCGGGGGGCAUGCCUGUUCGAGCGUCAUUACACCCUCAAGCUCUGCUUGGCGUUGGGAGCCGCCCGUGCGGUCCCGAAAGGCAGCGGCGGUCCGCCUGGCCUCGAGCGCAGUGAAUCUCUCGCUCUGGAGAAGAGGCAGGGCCAGCCCUCACAUCACCUUUUGACCUCGGAUCAGGUAGGGAUACCCGCUGAACUUAA
This 223-nucleotide unclassified non-coding RNA is filed under the name uncultured fungus. Its description in RNAcentral is "sequence contains ITS2". The stretch from base 1 to 52 matches the Rfam family "5.8S ribosomal RNA", at positions 103 to 154 of the family's 154-position model. The record is from RNAcentral. Lineage: Eukaryota; Fungi.